Regulatory RNA element from Carboxydothermus hydrogenoformans Z-2901, 89 nucleotides. It matches the Rfam family "c-di-GMP-I riboswitch aptamer". Rfam says of the family: GEMM was predicted in a large-scale screen for bacterial structured RNA regulatory elements. Genes associated with GEMM are involved in a diverse array of functions, including chemotaxis regulation, signal transduction, secretion and chitin. The record is from Rfam. NCBI's taxonomy places the organism in Bacteria, Bacillati, Bacillota, Clostridia, Thermoanaerobacterales, Thermoanaerobacteraceae.
UUCCGAAAAAGGCAAACCCGGCGAAAGCCGGGGACGCAAAGCUACAGGGGCUAAAGCAGGUUGUCCUGCUAUGCCAGCCAGCUGCCGAA